GGGGACGUAGUUCAGCUUGGUAGAAUGCGCGCCUGGGGCGUGCGUGGUCGAGGGUUCAAAUCCCCCCGUCCCCA
Molecule: transfer RNA, 74 nt
Filed under: Candidatus Woesearchaeota archaeon
Lineage: Archaea; Nanobdellati; Candidatus Woesearchaeota
Description: tRNA-Pro
Rfam family: tRNA
About the family: Transfer RNA (tRNA) molecules are approximately 80 nucleotides in length. Their secondary structure includes four short double-helical elements and three loops (D, anti-codon, and T loops).
Source: RNAcentral